RNAcentral lists this ribosomal RNA (1303 nucleotides) under metagenome. RNAcentral's name for it is "bacterial LSU rRNA". It matches the Rfam family "Bacterial large subunit ribosomal RNA", at positions 1607 to 2895 of the family's 2925-position model. The record is from RNAcentral.
ACCAAGAAAAGCCUCUAAGCUUCAGUUAUGGAGAGACCGUACCGCAAACCGACACAGGUGGGCAGGAUGAGAAUUCUAAGGCGCUUGAGAGAACUCAGGAGAAGGAACUCGGCAAAUUAGCACCGUAACUUCGGGAUAAGGUGCGCCCUGGUAGAUUGAAGGCCCUCGCGGCUGGAGGUCGAAAGGGUUGCAGUGAAAUGGUGGCUGCGACUGUUUAAUAAAAACACAGCACUCUGCAAACACGAAAGUGGACGUAUAGGGUGUGACGCCUGCCCGGUGCCGGAAGGUUAAGUGAUGGGGUGCAAGCUCUUGAUCGAAGCCCCGGUAAACGGCGGCCGUAACAAUAACGGUCCUAAGGUAGCGAAAUUCCUUGUCGGGUAAGUUCCGACCUGCACGAAUGGCGUAACGAUGGCCACACUGUCUCCUCCUGAGACUCAGCGAAGUUGAAAUGUUUGUGAAGAUGCAAUCUCCCCGCGGCAAGACGGAAAGACCCCAUGAACCUUUACUGUAGCUUUGCAUUGGACUUUGAACCGGUCUGUGUAGGAUAGGUGGGAGGCUUUGAAGCGUGGACGCUAGUUCGCGUGGAGCCAACCUUGAAAUACCACCCUGGUUUGUUUGAGGUUCUAACCAUGGCCCGUGAAUCCGGGUCUGGGACCGUGCAUGGUAGGCAGUUUGACUGGGGCGGUCUCCUCCCAAAGCGUAACGGAGGAGUACGAAGGUACGCUAGGUACGGUCGGACAUAGUGCUAAUAGUGCAAUGGCAUAAGCGUGCUUGACUGCGAGACUCACACGUCGAGCAGGUACGAAAGUAGGUCAUAGUGAUCCGGUGGUUCUGUAUGGAAGGGCCAUCGCUCAACGGAUAAAAGGUACUCUGGGGAUAACAGGCUUAUACCGCCCAAGAGUUCGUAUCGACGGCGGUGUUUGGCACCUCGAUGUCGGCUCAUCACAUCCUGGGGCUGUAGCCGGUCCCAAGGGUAUGGCUGUUCGCCAUUUAAAGUGGUACGUGAGCUGGGUUUAAAACGUCGUGAGACAGUUUGGUCCCUAUCUGCCGUGGGCGCUGGAAAUUUGAAGGGACCUGCUCCUAGUACGAGAGGACCGGAGUGGACGAACCUCUGGUGUACCGGUUAUGACGCCAGUCGUAUCGCCGGGUAGCUAAGUUCGGAAGAGAUAAACGCUGAAAGCAUCUAAGCGUGAAACUCGCCUUAAGAUAAGAUUUCCCUGGGGACUCGAUCCCCCUGAAGGGUCGUCGAAGACCACGACGUUGAUAGGCUGGGUGUGGAAGCGCAGUAAUGCGUUAAGCUAAC